RNAcentral lists this ribosomal RNA (253 nucleotides) under uncultured bacterium. RNAcentral's name for it is "partial 16S ribosomal RNA". It matches the Rfam family "Bacterial small subunit ribosomal RNA", at positions 524 to 776 of the family's 1533-position model. The record is from RNAcentral.
UACGGGGGGGGCAAGCGUUGUUCGGAAUUACUGGGCGUAAAGGGCGCAUAGGCGGCCUGCUAAGUCGGAUGUGAAAUCCCUCGGCUCAACCGAGGAACUGCAUCCGAUACUGGCGGGCUUGAAUCCGGGAGAGGGAUGUGGAAUUCCAGGUGUAGCGGUGAAAUGCGUAGAUAUCUGGAGGAACACCGGUGGCGAAGGCGGCAUCCUGGACCGGUAUUGACGCUGAGGCGCGAAAGCUAGGGGAGCAAACGGG